Molecule: long non-coding RNA, 279 nt
Filed under: Gopherus agassizii (Agassiz's desert tortoise)
Lineage: Eukaryota; Metazoa; Chordata; Testudines; Testudinidae
Description: lncRNA (ENSGAGG00000001868.1)
Source: RNAcentral
CUAGUGGACACGGUGUUAAUCUUGCACUCAACUGGCUUUCAGACAUUAAAAGGGAUCAAAGUGGAUGUGCUCAGAUGAAGAAAGGAGGAGAACUUGUGGCUACUGGUUGCUCCACACUCCUGCACUGGGUCUGUGAAAAACAAGCAGACCUUGAUAUUUUCCUUGAGUAUCCUGGAAGAAUACUGCUUUCUCUGGUGGCAAUGGCUCAAUAUAGUACCCUAACUGAAGCAAAAUUCUACUGCAUGAUCAAAGCUCAGUGUACAGGAAUAAGUAGUUGGC